UUAAAACAAAUUCCUGUUGUUGAGCUGUAUACAGAACACUCUAAUAAAGAUAGAAAGUGUCUAAAUAGGCAUUUUUAGCCACUUUGGGUUUUUUUCAAUUUUCAAAUCCUUAUUCGUCUUUGACCCAUUUAUAGUGUCAGACGUAUGCUUUACUUUGAAAAUUCAAAGCUGGCGACAGAGCAUGACACAAGGGAUUUCAGGCUGUGGAUCAGCUUUUAUGUUGAAAUUCAGAAUCUCGAGGGUAUGGGUUCAAGACACCAAGGACAGACCAGACGCAUGAGAGGAGAGUUGUCUUUCGGCACAAUAAUUAUAUUAAAAUAUAAAUUACUGCUCUGUGAGAACAUCUAGGCUCACACUUUACUUGUUUCUACUUCAAAGGCAUUUACUUUAACGUUUUUUUCAAAUCAAGUAAGCAAAAAAACUUUCUGGCAUUUUCAAUCAUCUUCAGUCCAGUUACAGUUUAGCUACUAACUUAUUCCAAAGACAUCAUGUAAGUUUUAAAAGGUCGAAAUUAAUUGAAAGCUUUAACCUGUCUGAAUCUUUUGCACCUCACUGAGACGAAACGUGAUUCUAAGGUUAAAGAGAGCGGAGUUCAACUGUCUGACUGUCCCUGAACGCCUCACGAAGAUUUGAUUGACAGCUCUGCUUCAGCACGUUCAUUCCGUUCUCUGCCUCGACAGGUAAGUCUGAUGAGAGAAGUCUCUCCCUCUCAACACGAACUACUGACGUCACAGCUUCACAUUUGAUGUUUUAAAUUACCCUCCAAUGUUGUUUAGAAACUAAUAACUCAAGCCCAGGUGAAAGGAAGGUUGAAAAUGUUUCAUUCCAGCUUUAAAGACUUUGUUAGCUUGCUUGUUAGCUAGCGGCUCACGCUAACAGUCGCUAACGUCAGUUGAGAGUGACGUAGGCAGUAACGGUCUUUAUCUAAACAGAAGAGGACCUCAGUCUUCAGUCAUAUGUCUGACACUACAGUUCAGAGCAGAGCAUGUUGAUAUGAAUAAAGACUGACACUUCAUGUGUGUGCUUUAGUACAUCCAGUUAUUAUUAAAUAUGACCGUUUCAACGUCCUGACCAUAGACUUGACAGAUAAGAACCACCACACAGCAGUAAGACGCCAUCUUAUUGGCUGUGUCUUCCCGCCACUGUGACGCGUCCUGCUCUCUGUUAACAGGGUAGAAAGUUAAUAAAUUAAAGGGUGAUGAAAACACAAUAGUUGAGGAAGAAUAUGUUUUAUUUUGUGAGUUUCAAUUUAUGUAAUGUACUGUAUGAAGCUCUGUAUUGUCACACAACUAAAAUGUUUUCUCUCCCUCUCCUCCCUCUCAUCAUUCCUCACGGCUCUCUCCCUCCUCUCACAUUUGGCUGAUCAUCACGGGCUCCUCAUCCAACAAAGAACUUGGAAAUUGCAAGAAAACACACAAGUUAAUACUAAACUGAUAUUUCAUGGCUUUAUAUUGACUGAAUCAUGUCUCACUGCAUGAACAGGACGUUAUAAUAUAAUGAAGUAAACAGUCGUAGUAUUUGUCAUGUCUCAUAACAUUUUAAUUUGUAAACAUAUUUACUCUUAGAUUUCUGAGUGUUUUCAAAAGUAUAAUGUAAUGUAGCUGUGGUAAUGUAACUUUAGUAUUUAUGUGUCCCUUUUUGAGACUAAUAAGAAAUUAGGAAAAAUCUGAUAUUUACCCUGACAAACAUUUUAGAUAGAAAUGAUCUUUGAGAUGUUCCUGAAAUAAGACUGAAGAUCUCUCUCUCUCUCUGCCUGCCUGCCUGCCUGCCUGCCUGC
Long non-coding RNA from Notolabrus celidotus (New Zealand spotty), 1777 nucleotides. RefSeq lists it as uncharacterized. NCBI's taxonomy places the organism in Eukaryota, Metazoa, Chordata, Actinopteri, Labriformes, Labridae. The transcript has 3 exons. The record is from RefSeq and is a predicted model, not a curated record.